CAACUGUGAUUAACCAGGUCACUUCAAAAGAGAUUGUCCAAAUCCAAGGAAGGGCAAAGGUGAAACUAGUGGCCAGAAGAAUGACGACAACACAACCACCAUGGUGCAAAACAAUGAUAAUGUUGUCCUCUUUAUAAAUGAGGAAGAGGAAUGCAUGCACCUGUCAUGUCCAGAGUCGGAGUGGGUGGUUGACACAGCGGCAUCUUACCAUGCCACACCGGUAAGAGCUCUUUUUUGCAGAUAUGUAGCAGGUGAUUUCGGCACAGUGAGAAUGAGUAACACGAGUUACUCAAAGAUUGCGGGGAUUGGUGACAUUUGUAUCAAGACAAAUGUCGGAUGCACAUUGGUUCUAAAGGAUGUGCGGCAUGUACCUGAACAAUGAUAAUGUUGUCCUCUUUAUAAAUGAGGAAGAGGAAUGCAUGCACCUGUCAGGUCCAGAGUCGGAAUGGGUGGUUGACACAGCGACAUCUUACCGUGACACACCGGUAAGAGAUCUUUUUUGCAGAUAUGUAGCUGGUAAUUUCAGCACAGUGAGAAUGGAUAACACGAGUUACUCAAAGAUUGAGGGGAUUGGUGACAUUUGUAUCAAGACAAAUGUCGGAUGCACAUUAGUUCUAAAGGAUGUGCCGCAUGUACCUGAUUUGUGGAUGAACUUGAUCUCGGGGAUUGCUUUAGACCGAGAUGGAUACGAGAACUAUUUUGCAAAUCA
This 709-nucleotide long non-coding RNA is filed under the name Nicotiana benthamiana. Its description in RNAcentral is "long non-coding RNA (NBEN_LNC032936)". Lineage: Eukaryota; Viridiplantae; Streptophyta; Magnoliopsida; Solanales; Solanaceae. The record is from RNAcentral.